Betta splendens (Siamese fighting fish) is the source of this 427-nucleotide long non-coding RNA. RefSeq lists it as uncharacterized. The transcript is spliced from 3 exons. NCBI's taxonomy places the organism in Eukaryota, Metazoa, Chordata, Actinopteri, Anabantiformes, Osphronemidae. The record is from RefSeq and is a predicted model, not a curated record.
CCGCUGACAUAAUUUGUGGUUAGCUGAUAAUACUGGGGAGCAAGCAAUGAGAAGGUAAAGGGCUUUUAGAUGCUUUUUCUGCCUUUAGCUGGGGUGAAGAGAAAGGAGCAGCGUGGUGCUUGUUCAUUCGUAUUUAGGCUUUGAAGGCGGCUGCUGGUCUUCUCCUUCAUAACUUCUGCGUCUACUGUACAUGAGCUGGAGUGAAGGCAGAGUCUCGUGAUGGGCGCUAAUGAGGGAAUUAAUUGCUUCUUGGUGUCGGGACUGACCUGAUGUAAGCCACCAGGAAGUGGAGCACAGUGUUGCAGGGAAACAAGACGCUGCCUCUCCUCGUUAUCUGGUAAAACAUGGCCCAGAACCUCCCUGCUCAUCCUGUGCCGCGCUGUGACGUCAUCUGGACCCACCUUGUAGCCCGUGAUGGUACUGACGU